Aethalodelphis obliquidens (Pacific white-sided dolphin) is the source of this 869-nucleotide long non-coding RNA. RefSeq lists it as uncharacterized. The record is from RefSeq and is a predicted model, not a curated record. Lineage: Eukaryota; Metazoa; Chordata; Mammalia; Artiodactyla; Delphinidae. The transcript is spliced from 2 exons.
UCUGGAGGCUCCGUGGGAGAAUCCAUUUCCUCCUCGUCUUUUCCAGCUUCUAGAGGUGCCUGCAUCCCUUGGCUCAUGGCCUCUACCUCCCUUUGCAUGGUGGGAGGUGCUUCUGUCAUGACACCCCCUUCUCUGCUUCUCUGAUUCUGAUAGUGACCCCUCCUUCGUUUGUAAGAGCUCUGCGAUUACGUUGGGCUCACCCACAUAAUCCAGGAGAAUCUCCCCAUCUCAAGACCCUUAAUUUAAUCUGCAAAGUCCCUUUCAUCAUGUAACUACCGCCAACACAUGUCCUGGAGAUGAAGAUAUAGAUAUCUUGGGCGGGGGUGUUAUUCUGCUCCCACAGGGCCCUUGGGUGGGUGGGUGGGGGGUGUCUCAGUUUCCUCAGUCUGUAAAAUGGGGCACAUCGUACCAUUUGAGAGUCUGACUGCCUGGGUUUGGGUCUCCGCCUCUGCCUCUUGCUGGCGAUGUGACCUGCCCCAAGGGCUUCCUCAUCUGUGAAAUGGAGAUAAGAAUAACUAGCAGUGUGGAAUUGCGGAGCCAACCCGCCUAAAGCGCUCAGAGCAUGUCUGACACGUGUGCGUUUCUUUUUUUUUUUUGGCCGCGCCAUGCGGCUUGUGGGAUCUUAGCUCCCCAACCGAGGAUUGAACCCGGGCCCUCAGCAGUGAGAGCACAGAGUCCUAAUCACUGGACCGCCAGAAAAUUCCCUGACACCUGUGUGUUUCCAAGAGGCACUGUUCUAGACGCUGGAGAUACAGCCGUGAGCAAGCAGACGAAAACUGCCCUGGUGGAGUGGAGCUCUAGCAAGUUCUCACCCCUCUCCCCCACCCACCAGUGCUCUCCUUCCGUUUCUUAGAGACCCCUGUCUCAGC